UCCUAUCGCUGCAUUACCAUGCAGUCGUAACAGGUAGCCAAGUCGGGAGGGGAUUAGUGGCGAACGGGUGAGUAACACGUGGGCAAUCUGCCCUUCACUCUGGGACAAGCCCUGGAAACGGGGUCUAAUACCGGAUAACACUGCGGAUCGCAUGGUCUGCGGUUGAAAGCUCCGGCGGUGAAGGAUGAGCCCGCGGCCUAUCAGCUAGUUGGUGGGGUAAUGGCCUACCAAGGCGACGACGGGUAGCCGGCCUGAGAGGGCGACCGGCCACACUGGGACUGAGACACGGCCCAGACUCCUACGGGAGGCAGCAGUGGGGAAUAUUGCACAAUGGGCGAAAGCCUGAUGCAGCGACGCCGCGUGAGGGAUGACGGCCUUCGGGUUGUAAACCUCUUUCAGCAGGGAAGAAGCGAAAGUGACGGUACCUGCAGAAGAAGCGCCGGCUAACUACGUGCCAGCAGCCGCGGUAAUACGUAGGGCGCAAGCGUUGUCCGGAAUUAUUGGGCGUAAAGAGCUCGUAGGCGGCUUGUCACGUCGGAUGUGAAAGCCCGGGGCUUAACCCCGGGUCUGCAUUCGAUACGGGCAGGCUAGAGUGUGGUAGGGGAGAUCGGAAUUCCUGGUGUAGCGGUGAAAUGCGCAGAUAUCAGGAGGAACACCGGUGGCGAAGGCGGAUCUCUGGGCCAUUACUGACGCUGAGGAGCGAAAGCGUGGGGAGCGAACAGGAUUAGAUACCCUGGUAGUCCACGCCGUAAACGUUGGGAACUAGGUGUUGGCGACAUUCCACGUCGUCGGUGCCGCAGCUAACGCAUUAAGUUCCCCGCCUGGGGAGUACGGCCGCAAGGCUAAAACUCAAAGGAAUUGACGGGGGCCCGCACAAGCAGCGGAGCAUGUGGCUUAAUUCGACGCAACGCGAAGAACCUUACCAAGGCUUGACAUCGCCCGGAAAGCAUCAGAGAUGGUGCCCCCCUUGUGGUCGGGUGACAGUGGUGCAUGGCUGUCGUCAGCUCGUGUCGUGAGAUGUUGGGUUAAGUCCCGCAACGAGCGCAACCCUUGUUCUGUGUUGCCAGCAUGCCCUUCGGGGUGAUGGGGACUCACAGGAGACUGCCGGGGUCAACUCGGAGGAAGGUGGGGACGACGUCAAGUCAUCAUGCCCCUUAUGUCUUGGGCUGCACACGUGCUACAAUGGCCGGUACAAAGAGCUGCGAAGCCGCGAGGCGGAGCGAAUCUCAAAAAGCCGGUCUCAGUUCGGAUUGGGGUCUGCAACUCGACCCCAUGAAGUCGGAGUUGCUAGUAAUCGCAGAUCAGCAUUGCUGCGGUGAAUACGUUCCCGGGCCUUGUACACACCGCCCGUCACGUCACGAAAGUCGGUAACACCCGAAGCCGGUGUUAAGUCCCGCA
RNAcentral lists this ribosomal RNA (1398 nucleotides) under Streptomyces sp. 1011TES2B15. RNAcentral's name for it is "bacterial SSU rRNA". It matches the Rfam family "Bacterial small subunit ribosomal RNA". Lineage: Bacteria; Bacillati; Actinomycetota; Actinomycetes; Kitasatosporales; Streptomycetaceae. The record is from RNAcentral.